Long non-coding RNA from Drosophila virilis, 928 nucleotides. RefSeq lists it as uncharacterized. Lineage: Eukaryota; Metazoa; Arthropoda; Insecta; Diptera; Drosophilidae. The record is from RefSeq and is a predicted model, not a curated record.
GUGUGUGUGUGUAUCAGGUGUAAAUGCGAUGAACAUAAGUUUAAGGCAAAAUUCUCUUUUGUUAGUUUGUGCGGCCAAUUGAUUGGCUAAGUAGACUUUUUUUUUUUAAAUUAUUAUGUGGAGGGCCCAAAAGUUGAAACUGCAUUUGUUUUGGACUCACCGAUGGACGCAAGCGCACGCAAUGCCUGCUGAAGGCGGAGAAGGGUCCCCAUCUUUCGACCGGCGAGUUACUCACAUGUGAAGUAUCCGCAUUUGAGGUAUCCUGUGUGCGAUAAAUACCAAUCGGUAUUUCGCAGGUGGUCGAGCAGAGUUUUUGAUACAAACGCCCAUAUGUGCGUAUCCACAUAUCAUCCUUGGUAAUGCGCAUCUGUCAGGGAGUUAGACCAACAGAGAGAAAGUAAUAAAAAAAGCUAGUCAACAGUUGCUGUCAAAUGCCACCUACCGAGGUGAGAAAACCACUGCCCGGCGCCUGAUCUAUGCCCAGCAGCAGGCGCACAAAGGUAAUCACAUAGUCCUUGACAAAGGCCUGGUAGAGCAGCGUGUCCAGCAUGGAGGCACUGAAGACGGCGCCAGCGGCAAAGGGCAGCCGAAACAUGUAGGAGAUGUGCGAACCGCGCUCCUUCUCGCGCUGCAAUUAAGUGAGCGACAAAUUAACCAAUGACAACUGCAGCGAAUGCACCGCGCCGGGCCCCAUGAUACCGACCUUUUCCAUUUUGCUCAGAUGCAGGGCGUAUUUGUCGUGUGCCCGGAACUGCAUGAAGCGCAUGUUCGAACUCUGUGACAACUCGGUGAUGCUCUUGAUGCUCGGAAAGAAUCUUUAGUAGCAUGGCAGAAAAAUGAAUAGGCGACAAUUGUGUUGCAGUCGGAGAGUGAAUCCUCCUCGGCUGAAUUGGAUAGCUCCUUGUUGACCACAACAACACUCUCGGCG